CUCGGCAAAAUCCCAAUGGCCCACCAGGGCAUAUUGGAACACGGGCCUCGACUGUUUACCAAAAACAUAGCCCUCGGCUAAUAUGAAAAUAGAUGUAUAGAGGGUGAUGCCUGCCCAAUGGUUGUAUCUAAAAGCGGUUGAUAAAAGUUGACCUCGUAAGGACAAUUGAAUGGCCGCGGUAACACUGACCGUGAUAAUGUAGCGUAAUCAAUAGCCAAUUAAUUGUUGGCCAGUAUGAAUGGCGCCACGAAGGCCCCACUGUCUUAAGGAAAUUCCCAGUGAAAUUGAAUUCGUAGUGAAGAUGCUACGUCCAAUUUGUUAGACGAAAAGACCCCGUUGAGCUUUACUGGAGCACUUACAUGGCCCCGGCCUUCCCAUGCCUGGGAACCGGCCGAAUUUAAAUGGGCGGCUUAGAUUAUGUGGCAGCCCCCCGCUGGGGCAAAUGAAACACCACUCCCCCAUGUCAAAGGGGCUAACCCCCCCCCCUUGGGGGGACAGUGUAAGUAGGACAGUUUGGUUGGGGCGACCACCUUUUAAAAAGUAACGAAGGUGCGCUUAAGGUGCGCAAUUAAUGACUGAAGCCUGACUGCGAGGGGGACACCCCGAGCAGACACCCCAAAGCCCGCCCGAAAGGCGGCGGUGGGGUGGGCCAUAGUGACCCGUUAAUUUAGAGUGGAAUAGUUAACGAUCAACGAAUAAAAG
RNAcentral lists this ribosomal RNA (702 nucleotides) under Zoanthus sansibaricus. Its description in RNAcentral is "partial 16S ribosomal RNA". It matches the Rfam family "Bacterial large subunit ribosomal RNA", at positions 1713 to 2462 of the family's 2925-position model. Lineage: Eukaryota; Metazoa; Cnidaria; Anthozoa; Zoantharia; Zoanthidae. The record is from RNAcentral.